GAUGAACGCUGGCGGCGUGCCUAAUACAUGCAAGUCGAGCGAACAGACGAGGAGCUUGCUCCUCUGACGUUAGCGGCGGACGGGUGAGUAACACGUGGAUAACCUACCUAUAAGACUGGGAUAACUUCGGGAAACCGGAGCUAAUACCGGAUAAUAUAUUGAACCGCAUGGUUCAAUAGUGAAAGACGGUUUUGCUGUCACUUAUAGAUGGAUCGGCGCCGCAUUAGCUAGUUGGUAAGGUAACGGCUUACCAAGGCAACGAUGCGUAGCCGACCUGAGAGGGUGAUCGGCCACACUGGAACUGAGACGCGGUCCAGACUCCUACGGGAGGCAGCAGUAGGGAAUCUUCCGCAAUGGGCGAAAGCCUGACGGAGCAACGCCGCGUGAGUGAUGAAGGUCUUCGGAUCGUAAAACUCUGUUAUUAGGGAAGAACAAAUGUGUAAGUAACUAUGCACGUCUUGACGGUACCUAAUCAGAAAGCCACGGCUAACUACGUG
Molecule: ribosomal RNA, 497 nt
Filed under: uncultured bacterium
Lineage: Bacteria
Description: partial 16S ribosomal RNA
Rfam family: Bacterial small subunit ribosomal RNA
Source: RNAcentral